This 261-nucleotide long non-coding RNA is filed under the name Elaeis guineensis (African oil palm). Its description in RNAcentral is "long non-coding RNA (EGUI_LNC030784)". The record is from RNAcentral. Lineage: Eukaryota; Viridiplantae; Streptophyta; Magnoliopsida; Arecales; Arecaceae.
GGGCUCAGUCUUCAUCUGAUGAGGAAGUCCCCACCUCCUCAUCGCUAUUUUCUGGCUAAAGGCCAUGGAGUUCCUAGUAUGGUGUUAUCUACAAUGGGUAGGCCUUACAAUCCUCAAAGUCGAAGAUAAAGAUGGUAGCAGCAAUAUCAACAGCCUCCUUCUCGACCUCUAUAGAGGCUCGGAACUCUGAAUAUAGCAUGGUCAGACACCAAAAGAAAUCCGCUCAAAUUGGAAGGUACGUUCACCCCUAGAAGAUGGCAG